RNAcentral lists this ribosomal RNA (253 nucleotides) under uncultured bacterium. RNAcentral describes it as "partial 16S ribosomal RNA". It matches the Rfam family "Bacterial small subunit ribosomal RNA", at positions 524 to 776 of the family's 1533-position model. The record is from RNAcentral.
UACGGGGGGGGCAAGCGUUGUUCGGAAUUACUGGGCGUAAAGGGCUCGUAGGUGGCCAACUAAGUCACACGUGAAAUCCCUCGGCCUAACCGAGGAACUGCCUUUGAAACUGCUUGGCUUGAGGCCGGGAGAGGGUAGCGGAAUUCCCAGUGUAGCGGUGAAAUGCGUAGAUAUUGGGAGGAACACCAGUGGCGAAGGCGGCUACCUGGACCGGUUCUGACGCUGAGGCGCGAAAGCGUGGGGAGCAAACAGG